GACGAACGCUGGCGGCGUGCUUAACACAUGCAAGUCGAACGGAAAGGCCCUGCUUUUGUGGGGUGCUCGAGUGGCGAACGGGUGAGUAACACGUGAGUAACCUGCCCUUGACUUUGGGAUAACUUCAGGAAACUGGGGCUAAUACCGGAUAGGAGCUCCUGCUGCAUGGUGGGGGUUGGAAAGUUUCGGCGAUUGGGGAUGGACUCGCGGCUUAUCAGCUUGUUGGUGGGGUAGUGGCUUACCAAGGCUUUGACGGGUAGCCGGCCUGAGAGGGUGACCGGCCACAUUGGGACUGAGAUACGGCCCAGACUCCUACGGGAGGCAGCAGUGGGGAAUAUUGCACAAUGGGCGGAAGCCUGAUGCAGCAACGCCACGUGCGGGAUGACGGCCUUCGGGUUGUAAACCGCUUUCGCCUGUGACGAAGUGUGAGUGACGGUAAUGGGUAAAGAAGCACCGGCUAACUACGUG
This 468-nucleotide ribosomal RNA is filed under the name uncultured bacterium. RNAcentral describes it as "partial 16S ribosomal RNA". It matches the Rfam family "Bacterial small subunit ribosomal RNA", at positions 28 to 507 of the family's 1533-position model. The record is from RNAcentral.